UCUCCGAAGNGUAGCGCGGUGGUCCCACCUGACCCCAUGCCGAACUCAGAAGUGAAACGCCGUAGCGCCGAUGGUAGUGUGGGGUCUCCCCAUGCGAGAGUAGGGAACUGCCAGGC
RNAcentral lists this ribosomal RNA (116 nucleotides) under Escherichia coli. The record is from RNAcentral. Lineage: Bacteria; Pseudomonadati; Pseudomonadota; Gammaproteobacteria; Enterobacterales; Enterobacteriaceae.